GAUGAACGCUGGCGGCGUGCCUAAUACAUGCAAGUCGAGCGAACAGACGAGGAGCUUGCUCCUCUGACGUUAGCGGCGGACGGGUGAGUAACACGUGGAUAACCUACCUAUAAGACUGGGAUAACUUCGGGAAACCGGAGCUAAUACCGGAUAAUAUAUUGAACCGCAUGGUUCAAUAGUGAAAGACGGUUUUGCUGUCACUUAUAGAUGGAUCCGCGCCGCAUUAGCUAGUUGGUAAGGUAACGGCUUACCAAGGCAACGAUGCGUAGCCGACCUGAGAGGGUGAUCGGCCACACUGGAACUGAGACACGGUCCAGACUCCUACGGGAGGCAGCAGUAGGGAAUCUUCCGCAGUGGGCGAAAGCUUGACGGAGCAACGCCGCGUGAGUGAUGAAGGUCUUCGGAUCGUAAAACUCUGUUAUUAGGGAAUAACAAAUGUGUAAGUAACUAUGCACGUCUUGACGGUACCUAAUCAGAAAGCCACGGCUAACUACGU
Molecule: ribosomal RNA, 496 nt
Filed under: uncultured bacterium
Lineage: Bacteria
Description: partial 16S ribosomal RNA
Rfam family: Bacterial small subunit ribosomal RNA
Source: RNAcentral